GCUUGCAGCCAUACCACCCUGAGCACGCCUGCUCUUGUCUGAUCUAAGAAGCUAAGCGUGGUUGGGUCUGGUUAGUCCUUGGAUGAGAAACUGCUUGAGAAUAUGAGGUGCUAUAAGCU
This 119-nucleotide ribosomal RNA is filed under the name Amphilophus citrinellus (Midas cichlid). Lineage: Eukaryota; Metazoa; Chordata; Actinopteri; Cichliformes; Cichlidae. The record is from RNAcentral.